This 228-nucleotide ribosomal RNA is filed under the name uncultured bacterium. RNAcentral's name for it is "partial 16S ribosomal RNA". It matches the Rfam family "Bacterial small subunit ribosomal RNA", at positions 113 to 334 of the family's 1533-position model. The record is from RNAcentral.
CAACGUGGGUAACCUGCCCAUCAGAGGGGGAUAACAUUCGGAAACGGAUGCUAAAACCGCAUAGGUCUUCGAACCGCAUGGUUUGAAGAGGAAAAGAGGCGCAAGCUCCUGCUGAUGGAUGGACCCGCGGUGCAUUAGCUAGUUGGUGAGGUAACGGCUCACCAAGGCCGUGAUGCAUAGCCGACCUGAGAGGGUGAUCGGCCACAUUGGGACUGAGACACGGCCCAA